AGGACGACGCUGGCGGCGUGCUUAAUACAUGCAAGUCGAGCGAGGCCUUGGAAUUGGAGUCCUUCGGGAUGAAGAGUCCUUGGCCUAGCGGCGGACGGGUGAGUAACGCGUGGGCAACCUGCCCCAAAGUCCGGGAUAACAGUGGGAAACCGCUGCUAAUACCGGAUGGCUUUACCUGAGGGCAUCCUUGGGUAAAGAAAGGUUACGCUUUGGGAUGGGCCCGCGUCCCAUUAGCUAGUUGGUGAGGUAACGGCUCACCAAGGCGACGAUGGGUAGCCGGCCUGAGAGGGUGAACGGCCACACUGGGACUGAGACACGGCCCAGACUCCUACGGGAGGCAGCAGUAGGGAAUAUUGCGCAAUGGGCGGAAGCCUGACGCAGCGACGCCGCGUGAGCGAAGAAGGCCUUCGGGUCGUAAAGCUCUGUCCUUGGGGAAGAAGGCGAAAGCUUGACGGUACCCAAGAAGAAAGCCCCGGCUAACUACGUG
Molecule: ribosomal RNA, 487 nt
Filed under: uncultured bacterium
Lineage: Bacteria
Description: bacterial SSU rRNA
Rfam family: Bacterial small subunit ribosomal RNA
Source: RNAcentral